AUUGAACGCUGGCGGCAGGCCUAACACAUGCAAGUCGAACGAGUGGCGGACGGGUGAGUAAUGUCUGGGAAACUGCCUGAUGGAGGGGGAUCACUACUGGAAACGGUAGCUAAUACCGCAUACCAUCGGAUGUGCCCAGAUGGGAUUAGCUUGUAGGUGAGGUAACGGCUCACCUAGGCGACGAUCCCUAGCUGGUCUGAGAGGAUGACCAGCGACACUGGAACUGAUACACGGUGCAGACUCCGCCGGUAGGCAGCAGUGGGGAAUAGUGCACAAUGGGCGCAAGCCUGAUGCAGCCAUGCCGCGUGUAUGAAGAAGGCCUUCGGGUUGUAAAGUACUUGCAGCGGGGAGGCGUUACCCGCAGAAGAAGCACCGGCUAACUCCGUGCCAGCAGCCGCGGUAAUUC
RNAcentral lists this ribosomal RNA (406 nucleotides) under uncultured bacterium. RNAcentral describes it as "partial 16S ribosomal RNA". It matches the Rfam family "Bacterial small subunit ribosomal RNA", at positions 30 to 526 of the family's 1533-position model. The record is from RNAcentral.